ACAGCCCAUCCUGGAAAUUACUGACUUAAACAUCCAUACUACAUAACUCCAAAAGACCAAAACGAUAACAAGAAUAUAUUGAUCGUAGUUACGAAGUGGUGGACAAAAGAUUCUCUGCAUCAAACUUGGUCUUGUUGAUUCUGUUCAUCGAGACUUUUCAAAAUGGCGCCCAUGGAAAUGCCUGAUGAGCAAUGCAAAUUUCCCAAGUUAAUUAAUCAUCAUGCUAUCAUUAUAUAGAUAUACUGAUCUUCACUGAUAGUCGUAUAGAAAGGAAGUACCAGCCAACUUCAUUCAAACCACAAUUACUUACAAAUUACAAUGGAAUGCGUCUCUUCGUCAGAAUCCUGGUUAACAAACUAAACAAGUUAAGUUUUAUUCAUAGGUAUCAUCAAAACAAAGAGAAAAGGGGUGAUAUAAUUGAUAUAUAUAUAUAUAUAUAUAUAUAUAAACCUUAACCUGCAUCACUUUCU
RNAcentral lists this long non-coding RNA (470 nucleotides) under Linum usitatissimum (flax). Its description in RNAcentral is "long non-coding RNA (LUSI_LNC004740)". Lineage: Eukaryota; Viridiplantae; Streptophyta; Magnoliopsida; Malpighiales; Linaceae. The record is from RNAcentral.